CAGUAGCCACGGGAAUACGAGGGGUGCAAGCGUUGUCCGGAAUUAUUGGGCGUAAAGCGCGCGCAGGCGGAUCAGUCAGUCUGUCUUAAGAGUUCGGGGCUUAACCCCGUGAUGGGAUGGAAACUGCUGAUCUAGAGUAUCGGAGAGGAAAGUGGAAUUCCUAGUGUAGCGGUGAAAUGCGUAGAUAUUGGGAAGAACACCAGUGGCGAAGGCGACUUUCUGGACGAAAACUGACGCUGGGGCGCGAAAGCCAGGGGAGCGAACGGGAUUAGAUACCCCUGUAGUCCCUGUCUCUUAUACA
RNAcentral lists this ribosomal RNA (301 nucleotides) under uncultured bacterium. RNAcentral's name for it is "partial 16S ribosomal RNA". It matches the Rfam family "Bacterial small subunit ribosomal RNA", at positions 509 to 809 of the family's 1533-position model. The record is from RNAcentral.